Molecule: ribosomal RNA, 490 nt
Filed under: uncultured bacterium
Lineage: Bacteria
Description: partial 16S ribosomal RNA
Rfam family: Bacterial small subunit ribosomal RNA
Source: RNAcentral
AUUGAACGCUGGCGGCAGGCCUAACACAUGCAAGUCGAACGGUAACAGGAAGAAGCUUGCUUCUUUGCUGACGAGUGGCGGACGGGUGAGUAAUGUCUGGGAAACUGCCUGAUGGAGGGGGAUAACUACUGGAAACGGUAGCUAAUACCGCAUAACGUCGCAAGACCAAAGAGGGGGACCUUCGGGCCUCUUGCCAUCGGAUGGGCCCAGAUGGGAUUAGCUAGUAGGUGGGGUAACGGCUCACCUAGGCGACGAUCCCUAGCUGGUCUGAGAGGAUGACCAGCCACACUGGAACUGAGACACGGUCCAGACUCCUACGGGAGGCAGCAGUGGGGAAUAUUGCACAAUGGGCGAAAGCCUGAUGCAGCCAUGCCGCGUGUAUGAAGAAGGCCUUCGGGUUGUAAAGUACUUUCAGCGGGGAGGAAGGGAGUAAAGUUAAUACCUUGGCUCAUUGACGUUACCCGCAGAAGAAGCACCGGCUAACUCCGUG